GUGUCUGACAUAAACAGCUUCAAAUUUACAUUAAAACAUAUGCAACCAAUAACCAAGGAAUUGUAUAUAUAAUAACAAAAAAUAUCCAUAACGUAAUUAUAUACCAGAUACAAAUUUCUCACAAAGUAUAAUGAUAUUACAAACGACUUAACUUCUACACAACAACAAAGAAAAACUAUAAAGAAUUCACACACUUCCACAUAGGUCAAAAUUAUUGCAUUGUUGCCAAUAACUUUAAGAACCAUUAUUAGCUUACUAUUUUCAAAGGUAUAGGCACAACAAUAUCAUAUGCUGAUAAAUAUGAUCUAAUUUAAGAUGCUGCAAGUUUGGUGUUUGGGUUGAAAGAAAGCUGCUCAGCACAUGUAAGGACGUCCUUACAUGAAGCUGGGAUCCAUGACGUCCUUACAUGUGCUGAGCAGCUUCCUUUCAACCCAGCCGACACCAAGAAGGUCAAGAUAAUAUAGGUAAUGGGAAACGAUAUUGCUCAUUGAUUCAACAUCACCCUGUACACAAACACCUUCGCUAUAGAGAAUGUUCAUUGUAGCACCGAAGCCAGGAACCCGUUUCCCUAAAGUGUCGUUCUUGGUAGGCUUCCAGUUGCCAACGCAGCCUGGAAAGCAAGUGUUGCAUUCUACUCUAACUCUAUGUAUUCCGGAUGUUCAAGUAGAUUCACGUUCAGAGCUUUUCCAGCAGCUUCAUAAUUGUAGUUCC
Molecule: long non-coding RNA, 711 nt
Filed under: Trifolium pratense (red clover)
Lineage: Eukaryota; Viridiplantae; Streptophyta; Magnoliopsida; Fabales; Fabaceae
Description: long non-coding RNA (TPRA_LNC002881)
Source: RNAcentral